GGGACAGAGAGAGGGAGGCUUCCAGCGUGACGUCACAGCCUCCGCAUCAGCCGCUCCUGGUAGAGGCGAGGGGCGAUGCAAGCAUAGCCCCAUCUGGGAAGCGGCAGCCGUUUUGGUGAAGUUCACAUCUGCCAUCUGUUGGCCUGCAGGGUCGGCGGCCUUGAAGCUGGCAGCUACACCUGCUUUGCUUGGGCCGUACGUUUAAUAGAACGGCUGUCUCUAUAACCCGAAGCUGCCCAGAGACAGUGCUUCUUUCACAGCGUAAUCCAGAGGGACAAUGUGGCAGGAGACCAUGGAGAGUGGGCUGACCGCGUACGCCUGGUUCCUGAACAGUGUCAGACUAACAGAGCUUAACUGACUGCAGGAAAAAGACCCACACAAAGGAGAUCCCAACUG
Long non-coding RNA from Paramormyrops kingsleyae, 396 nucleotides. RefSeq lists it as uncharacterized. The record is from RefSeq and is a predicted model, not a curated record. NCBI's taxonomy places the organism in Eukaryota, Metazoa, Chordata, Actinopteri, Osteoglossiformes, Mormyridae.